Molecule: non-coding RNA, 275 nt
Organism: Vicugna pacos (alpaca)
Lineage: Eukaryota; Metazoa; Chordata; Mammalia; Artiodactyla; Camelidae
Source: RefSeq, a predicted model, not a curated record
CAUCCACACGCAUUCCCCGAAGGACCCUGACCGACCUCGUGUGCUUUUGUGAGAGGACCGUCUGGGGUCACAGGUGGUGUUUGUGGUCAUGGAAAAAGGAAAGCUAAUUGGCAUUGUCCUUCUGCUGGGGAAUUUCUGCCACCACCAAAGUGAGCCGGAGGGGUGGGGGUAGAUCUCAGUGGCAGAGCACGUGCUUAGCCUGCACGAGGUCCUGGGUUCAAUCCCCAGCACCUCCAUUAAAAUAAAUAAAUAAUUAUAUGGAGAUGGAUAUAUUU